RNAcentral lists this ribosomal RNA (485 nucleotides) under uncultured bacterium. RNAcentral describes it as "partial 16S ribosomal RNA". It matches the Rfam family "Bacterial small subunit ribosomal RNA", at positions 30 to 508 of the family's 1533-position model. The record is from RNAcentral.
AUUGAACGCUGGCGGCAGGCCUAACACAUGCAAGUCGAGCGGAUGAAGGGAGCUUGCUCCUGGAUUCAGCGGCGGACGGGUGAGUAAUGCCUAGGAAUCUGCCUGGUAGUGGGGGAUAACGUCCGGAAACGGGCGCUAAUACCGCAUACGUCCUGAGGGAGAAAGUGGGGGAUCUUCGGACCUCACGCUAUCAGAUGAGCCUAGGUCGGAUUAGCUAGUUGGUGGGGUAAAGGCCUACCAAGGCGACGAUCCGUAACUGGUCUGAGAGGAUGAUCAGUCACACUGGAACUGAGACACGGUCCAGACUCCUACGGGAGGCAGCAGUGGGGAAUAUUGGACAAUAGGCGAAAGCCUGAUCCAGCCAUGCCGCGUGUGUGAAGAAGGUCUUCGGAUUGUAAAGCACGUUAAGUUGGGAGGAAGGGCAGUAAGUUAAUACCGUGCUGUUUUGACGUUACCAACAGAAUAAGCACCGGCUAACUUCGUGC